GGCGGCGUGCCUAAUACAUGCAAGUCGAACGCUUUGUGGUUCAACUGAUUUGAAGAGCUUGCUCAGAUAUGACGAUGGACAUUGCAAAGAGUGGCGAACGGGUGAGUAACACGUGGGAAACCUACCUCUUAGCAGGGGAUAACAUUUGGAAACAGAUGCUAAUACCGUAUAACAAUGACAACCGCAUGGUUGUUAUUUAAAAGAUGGUUCUGCUAUCACUAAGAGAUGGUCCCGCGGUGCAUUAGCUAGUUGGUAAGGUAAUGGCUUACCAAGGCGAUGAUGCAUAGCCGAGUUGAGAGACUGAUCGGCCACAAUGGGACUGAGACACGGCCCAUACUCCUACGGGAGGCAGCAGUAGGGAAUCUUCCACAAUGGGCGAAAGCCUGAUGGAGCAACGCCGCGUGUGUGAUGAAGGGUUUCGGCUCGUAAAACACUGUUGUAAGAGAAGAAUGACAUUGAGAGUAACUGUUCAAUGUGUGACGGUAUCUUACCAGAAAGGAACGGCUAAAUACGUGCCAGCAGCCGCGGUAAUACGUAUGUUCCAAGCGUUAUCCGGAUUUAUUGGGCGUAAAGCGAGCGCAGACGGUUAUUUAAGUCUGAAGUGAAAGCCCUCAGCUCAACUGAGGAAUUGCUUUGGAAACUGGAUGACUUGAGUGCAGUAGAGGAAAGUGGAACUCCAUGUGUAGCGGUGAAAUGCGUAGAUAUAUGGAAGAACACCAGUGGCGAAGGCGGCUUUCUGGACUGUAACUGACGUUGAGGCUCGAAAGUGUGGGUAGCAAACAGGAUUAGAUACCCUGGUAGUCCACACCGUAAACGAUGAGUGCUAGGUGUUUGAGGGUUUCCGCCCUUAAGUGCCGCAGCUAACGCAUUAAGCACUCCGCCUGGGGAGUACGACCGCAAGGUUGAAACUCAAAGGAAUUGACGGGGACCCGCACAAGCGGUGGAGCAUGUGGUUUAAUUCGAAGCAACGCGAAGAACCUUACCAGGUCUUGACAUCCCUUGACAACUCCAGAGAUGGAGCGUUCCCUUCGGGGACAAGGUGACAGGUGGUGCAUGGUUGUCGUCAGCUCGUGUCGUGAGAUGUUGGGUUAAGUCCCGCAACGAGCGCAACCCUUAUUACUAGUUGCCAGCAUUCAGUUGGGCACUCUAGUGAGACUGCCGGUGACAAACCGGAGGAAGGUGGGGAUGACGUCAAAUCAUCAUGCCCCUUAUGACCUGGGCUACACACGUGCUACAAUGGCGUAUACAACGAGUUGCCAACCCGCGAGGGUGAGCUAAUCUCUUAAAGUACGUCUCAGUUCGGAUUGUAGGCUGCAACUCGCCUACAUGAAGUCGGAAUCGCUAGUAAUCGCGGAUCAGCACGCCGCGGUGAAUACGUUCCCGGGUCUUGUACACACCGCCCGUCACACCAUGAGAGUUUGUAACACCCAAAGCCGGUGGGGUAACCUUCGGGAGCCAGCCGUCUAAGGUGGGACAGAUG
This 1480-nucleotide ribosomal RNA is filed under the name Weissella confusa. Its description in RNAcentral is "bacterial SSU rRNA". It matches the Rfam family "Bacterial small subunit ribosomal RNA". The record is from RNAcentral. Lineage: Bacteria; Bacillati; Bacillota; Bacilli; Lactobacillales; Lactobacillaceae.